RNAcentral lists this ribosomal RNA (497 nucleotides) under uncultured bacterium. RNAcentral's name for it is "partial 16S ribosomal RNA". It matches the Rfam family "Bacterial small subunit ribosomal RNA", at positions 28 to 507 of the family's 1533-position model. The record is from RNAcentral.
GAUGAACGCUGGCGGCGUGCCUAAUACAUGCAAGUCGAGCGAACAGACGAGGAGCUUGCUCCUCUGACGUUAGCGGCGGACGGGUGAGUAACACGUGGAUAACCUACCUAUAAGACUGGGAUAACUUCGGGAAACCGGAGCUAAUACCGGAUAAUAUAUUGAACCGCAUGGUUCAAUAGUGAAAGACGGUUUUGCUGUCACUUAUAGAUGGAUCCGCGCCGCAUUAGCUAGUUGGUAAGGUAACGGCUUACCAAGGCAACGAUGCGUAGCCGACCUGAGAGGGCGAUCGGCCACCCUGGAACUGAGACACGGCCCAGACUCCUACGGGAGGCAGCAGUAGGGAAUCUUCCGCAAUGGGCGAAAGCCUGACGGAGCAACGCCGCGUGAGUGAUGAAGGUCUUCGGAUCGUAAAACUCUGUUAUUAGGGAAGAACAAAUGUGUAAGUAACUAUGCACGUCUUGACGGUACCUAAUCAGAAAGCCACGGCUAACUACGUG